This 468-nucleotide ribosomal RNA is filed under the name uncultured bacterium. Its description in RNAcentral is "partial 16S ribosomal RNA". It matches the Rfam family "Bacterial small subunit ribosomal RNA", at positions 28 to 507 of the family's 1533-position model. The record is from RNAcentral.
GACGAACGCUGGCGGCGUGCUUAACACAUGCAAGUCGAACGGAAAGGCCCUGCUUUUGUGGGGUGCUCGAGUGGCGAACGGGUGAGUAACACGUGAGUAACCUGCCCUUGACUUUGGGAUAACUUCAGGAAACUGGGGCUAAUACCGGAUAGGAGCCCCUGCUGCAUGGUGGGGGUUGGAAAGUUUCGGCGGUUGGGGAUGGACUCGCGGCUUAUCAGCUUGUUGGUGGGGUAGUGGCUUACCAAGGCUUUGACGGGUAGCCGGCCUGAGAGGGUGACCGGCGACAUUGGGACUGAGAUACGGCCCAGACUCCUACGGGAGGCAGCAGUGGGGAAUAUUGCACAAUGGGCGGAAGCCUGAUGCAGCAACGCCGCGUGCGGGAUGACGGCCUUCGGGUUGUAAACCGCUUUCGCCUGUGACGAAGCGUGAGUGACGGUAAUGGGUAAAGAAGCACCGGCUAACUACGUG